GGAAGUGUCAAUUCAAGUCACCUUUAUUUAUAUAGCACUUUAAACAAAAUACAUUGCGUCAAAGCAACUGAACAACAUUCAUUAGGAAAACAGUGUGUCAAUAAUGCAAAAUGAUAGUUAAAUGCAGUUCAUCAUUGAAUUCAGUGAUGCCAUCUCUGUUCAGUUAAAUAGUGUCUGUGCAUUUAUUUGCAAUCAAGUCAUCGAUAUCGCUGUAGAUGAAGUGACCCCAACUAAGCAAGCCAGAGGCGACAGCGGCAAGGAAACGAAACCCCAUCGGUGACAGAAUGGAGAAAAAAACCUUGGGAGAAACCAGGCUCAGUUGGGGGGCCAGUUCUCCUCUGACCAGACGAAACCAGUAGUUUAAUUCCAGGCUGGAUUUGGAUAUUAAAAGCAUAUUAGUAUGUUAUGUGUAAACCAGGUUAAAGAGAUGGGUCUUUAAUCUAGAUUUAAACUGCAAGAGUGUGUCUGCCUCCCGAACAAUGUUAGGUAGGUUAUUCCAGAGUUUAGGCGCCAAAUAGGAAAAGGAUCUGCCGCCCGCAGUUGAUUUUGAUAUUCUGGAAUGGCAAAUUGCCUGAGUUUUGAGAACGUAGCGGACGUAGAGCAGUAUAAUGUAAUAAAGGAGCUCAUUCAAAUUCUGAGGUGCUAAACCAUUCAGGGCUUCAUAAGUAAUAAGCAAUAUUUUAAAAUCUAUAUGAUGUUUGAUAGGGAGCCAGUGCAGCAAUGACAGGACCAGGCUAAUAUGGUCAUACUUCCUGGUUCUAGUAAGAACUCUUGCUGCUGCAUUUUGGACUAGCUGUAGUUUGUUUACUAAGCGUGCAGAACAACCACCCAAUAAAGCAUUACAAUAAUCUAACCUUGAGGUCAUAAAUGCAUGGAUUAACAUUUCUGCAUUUGACAUUGAGAGCAUAGGCCGUAAUUUAGAUAUAUUUUUGAGAUGGAAAAAUGCAGUUUUACAAAUGCUAGAAACAUGGCUUUCUAAGGAAAGAUUGCGAUCAAAUAGCACACCUAGGUUCCUAACUGAUGACCAGCACUUUUAAAUUUGCCAAGAUGUCAGGCGCUCUGGCUCCCGGUAAACAUUUGACUAUGGUGGCUGGUGUCUCUAUAUUCACGUUCCGUACAAUAGAAUCACCAAUAACUAGAGCACUUUCAUCAGGUUUCUCAGUGGGUGCAUCACUGAGUGGGGAGAACCUGUUUAAUGUUUUGAUCGGAACAGAAGAGUGGUGUUUUGACCCACGAAUACGCUGCCUCACUGUCACCCAGUUGCCCUGCUGCAGGGGCUCUGCUGGAACCGGACAAUGUACAGGAAUCCCUGAGCUAGACGCAUCCAAAGCCGUAUCUAGAGCCAUAACAUUCUUACUGUCCUCAAUUAAAGUUUGGAUUCGUGUCUCUAAUUCUGAAAGCUUCUCUGUCAGCCUAACUAUUUCCCUGCAUUUAUCAUAUGUGAAUCCCUCAUCAGCGACAGAGAUAGAUAAACUGUAAAUGUGGCAAGAGGUGCAAAUAACAAUAGCAGGAGAAGCCAUUUCUCACAGUGCUUGAGGAAAUAUUCUUACUGCAGUUGUUUGAUGAACUUGUGAAAAACUGGAGCGAUAGAGAGGAGAAAAGAAAAGGCUAAUGACAAGCUAACGAGUGCUAACACUUUGCAGGUGUACUGCACUCACAGAAAAGUGAACGAUCAAAGUUAAUCUGAUAAGAUUGAUAAUAUCAGAAAUAUGGCGUGAAUUAAGUUAUAUUUUACCACUUUAAAAAAAAACAAAAAACAAAACACUGAUCGUAAGAUAAAGAUUCUAGAGAAAAAAUAAAAUGAAAACAGCUACACGGAGCUACGAUUAGCUACAGAAGGCCAACAGGAAGUAGAGAAAACACUGUCCAACAGCGACACCCGAUGUCAGACGCUGUAAUAUGCUCUGGUCCCCUCCCUGCUUACCGUGGUGACGAGAUGCAUAGCAGAUUGUCAUCACUCAAUGGCUGGAUGUCUAAGUGGUGCCCACAGAAUAACAUAGGUUUCAUAGACAAUUGGACAAGCUUUUGGGGCAGACCUGACCUGUUGAAAAGAGAUGGUCUUCAUCCCUCUUGGGGUGGCGCCACUCUUCUCUCGAGAAAUAUGGCAAAUAGUCUUAGUGUUUAUACUUGACUAACUGGGGCCCAAGUCAGGAAGCAGACAGACUGGCUAAACUGACCAACUGCUAGCUGCCUCACGUCACAGAGGUCAGCUAUUUCUUAGCACAUAGAGACUCUUUCACCUAGAUAUCACACUAUAGAGACUUGUGUCUGUUCCCCUAACUAGAAAUACAAAAAACGUCCAAACCUAGUUAAGAUUAACAACUUAAUUGAGGUUCAACAAAUACAAAACAGAUGCAAUAUGAAUAAACAAAUGAUAAAGUUUGGCUUAUUGAAUAUCAGAUCCCUUUCUACGAAAACACUUUUUAUAAAUAAUAUGAUCACUGAUCAUAAACUAGAUGUGCUCUGUUUGACAGAAACCUGGCUAAAACCUUAUUACAUUAUUUUAAAUGAGUCCACCCCCCAAGAUUACUGUUAUAAACAUUUGCCACGUCUAAAAGGCAAAGGGGGAGGUGUUGCUUCAAUUUAUAACAACGUUUUCAGGAUUUCUCAGAGGGCAGGCUUCAAGUAUAACUCGUUUGAAGUAAUGGUGCUUCAUAUAACAUUAUCCAGAGAAACAAAUGUUAAUGAUAAAUCCCGUUAUGUUUAUACUGGCUACUGUAUACAGGCCACCAGGGCACCAUACAGACUUUAUUAAAGAGUUUGGUGAUUUUACAUCCGAGUUAGUUCUGGCUGCAGAUAAAGUUUUAAUAGUUGGUGAUUUUAAUGUCCAUGUUGAUAAUGAAAAGAUGCAUUGGGAUCAGCAUUUAUAUUUUGAACUCUGUUGGGGUUAGACAACACGUUUCAGGACCUAUUCAUUGUCGAAAUCAUACUCUAGAUUUAAUAUGGUCACAUGGAAUUGAUGUUGACAGUGUUGAAAUUAUGCAGCAAGGUGAUGAUAUCUCAGAUCAUUAUUAAGUUUAGUGCAAACUUCAUAUAGCCAAAAUUGUAAAUUCUACUUCUUGUUACAAGUAUGGAAGAACCAUCACUUCUACCACAAAAGACUGCUUUUUAAGUUACCGUCCUGAUGUAACCCAAAUUACUAAGCAUAUCCAAAACCUCAGAAAAACUUGAUGAUGUAACAGAAACUACGGACUCUCUCUUUUCUAGCAUUUUAAAUACAGUUGCUCCUUUACGCUUAAGGAAGGUUAAGGAAACCAGUAUGACACCAUGGUAUAAUGAGCACACUCGCACCCUAAAGAGAGCAGCCUGAAAAAUGGAACGCAGCUGGAGGAAAACAAAACUAGAGAUAUUUUGUAUUGCUUGGCAGGAAAGUAACCUAUCCUACAGAAAAGCAUUACAAACUGCUAGAUCCGAUUACUUUUCUUUUCUUUUAGAAGAAAACAAACAUAACCCCAGGUAUUUAUUCAAUACAGUAGCUAAAUUAACGAAAAAUAAAGCCUCAACAAGUGUUGACGUUUCCCAACAUCACAGCAGUAAUGAAUUUAUGAACUACUUUACUUCUAAAAUCGAUACUAUUAAAUUUAAAUUUAAUUCAAUUUACUAUUAGAGAUAAAAUUGCAACCAUUCAGCCGUCAUCUACAGCAUUGCAUCAGACAGGAUCAAAAAAUAUAUCUAAAAAACAGCCUUUGCUCUCAAUGUCAAAUGCAGAAAUGUUAAUCCAUGCAUUUAUGACCUCAAGGUUAGAUUAUUGUAAUGCUUUAUUGGGUGGUUGUUCUGCACGCUUAGUAAACAAACUACAGCUAGUCCAAAAUGCAGCAGCAAGAGUUAUUACUAGAACCAGGAAGUAUGACCAUAUUAGCCCGGUCCUGUCAACACUGCACUGGCUCCCUAUCAAACAUCGUAUAGAUUUUAAAAUAUUGCUUAUUACUUAUAAAGCCCUGAAUGGUUUAGCACCUCAGUAUUUGAAUGAGCUCCUUUUACAUUAUAAUCCUCUACGUCCGCUACGUUCUCAAAACUCAGGCAAUUUGAUAAUACCUAGAAUAUCAAAAAUCAACUGCGGGCGGCAGAUCCUUUUCCUAUUUGGUGCCUAAACUCUGGAAUAACCUGCCUAACAUUGUUCGGGAGGCAGACACACUCUUGCAGUUUAAAUCUAGUUUAAAGACCCAUCUCUUUAACUUGGCUUACACAUAACAUACUAAUAUGCUUUUAAUAUCCAAAUCCGUUAAAGGAUUUUUUUUAGGCUGCAUUACUUAAGUAAACCGGAACUGGGAACACUUCCCAUAACGCCCGAUGUACUUGCUACAUCAUUAGAAGAAUGGCAUCUACGCUAAUAUUAGUCUGUUUCUCUCUUAUUCCGAGGUCAACGGUAGCCACCAGAUCCAGUCUGUAUCCAGAUCAGAGGGUCACUGCAGUCACCCGGAUCCAGUACGUAUCCAGACCAGAUGGUGAAUCAGCACCUAGAAAGGACCUCUACAUCCCCGAAAGACAGCGGAGACCAGGACAACUAGAGCCCCAGAUACAGAUCCCCUGUAAAGACCUUGUCUCAGAUGACCACCAGGACAAGAACACAGGAAACAGAUGAUUCUUCUGCACAAUCUGACUUUGCUUCAGCCUGGAAUUGAACUACUGGUUUUGUCUGGUUAGAGGAGAACUGUCCCCCCCAACUGAGCCUGGUUUCUCCCAAGGUUUUUUUUUCUCCAUUCUGUCGCCUCUGGCUUGCUUAGUUGGGGUCACUUCAUCUACAGCGAUAUCGUUGACUUGAUUGCAAAUAAAUGCACAGACACUAUUUAAACUGAACAGACAUGACAUCACUGAAUUCAAUGAUGAACUGCCUUUAACUGUCAUUUUGCAUUAUUUACACACUUUUUUGCUAAUGAAUGUUGUUCAGUUGCUUUGACGUAAUGUAUUUUGUUUAAAGCACUAUAUAAAUAAAGGUCACUUGACUUAA
Molecule: long non-coding RNA, 4948 nt
Organism: Carassius gibelio (silver crucian carp)
Lineage: Eukaryota; Metazoa; Chordata; Actinopteri; Cypriniformes; Cyprinidae
Exons: 2
Source: RefSeq, a predicted model, not a curated record